GGGCGCCGGUAGCGCGGUGAGGGUGCCGUCCGGCUGGCGGCCGGGGCAGCGCUCGGGCGGCAGGCCGGUCCACCACCAGCUGGCGCGCG
This 89-nucleotide transfer RNA is filed under the name Zoogloea ramigera. RNAcentral describes it as "tRNA-Ala". The record is from RNAcentral. Lineage: Bacteria; Pseudomonadati; Pseudomonadota; Betaproteobacteria; Rhodocyclales; Zoogloeaceae.